GAUGAACGCUGGCGGCGUGCUUAACACAUGCAAGUCGAACGGAAAGGCCCAAGCUUGCUUGGGUACUCGAGUGGCGAACGGGUGAGUAACACGUGGGUGAUCUGCCCUGCACUUCGGGAUAAGCCUGCGAAACUGGGUCUAAUACCGGAUAGGACCUCAUUUUGGAUGGUGUGGUGGAAAGUUUUUCGGUGUGGGUUGAGCUCGCGGCCUAUCAGCUUGUUGGUGGGGUAAUGGCCUACCAAGGCGUCGACGGGUAGCCGGCCUGAGAGGGUGUACGGGCACAAUGGGACUGAGAGACGGACCAGACGCCUACGGGAGGCAGCAGUGGGGAAUAUUGCAGAAUGGGCGCAAGCCUGAUGCAGCGACGCCGCGUGGGGGAUGACGGCCUUCGGGUUGUAAACUCCUUUCGCUAGGGACGAAGCGCAAGUGACGGUACCUGGAGAAGAAGCACCGGCUAACUACGUG
This 465-nucleotide ribosomal RNA is filed under the name uncultured bacterium. RNAcentral describes it as "partial 16S ribosomal RNA". It matches the Rfam family "Bacterial small subunit ribosomal RNA", at positions 28 to 507 of the family's 1533-position model. The record is from RNAcentral.